Long non-coding RNA from Malaclemys terrapin pileata, 472 nucleotides. RefSeq lists it as uncharacterized. Lineage: Eukaryota; Metazoa; Chordata; Testudines; Emydidae. The record is from RefSeq and is a predicted model, not a curated record. The transcript is spliced from 3 exons.
GUCUGCCCCUUCCUUACUGGGAGGCUCAGUACAGAAUGCUUUGAGCGACUUGACCAGGAGGCUGUAGAGAAGCACUAAAAUUAAUUUUCCCAUCAGCUCAGUGCGAGCUCAGCAACGAGAAGGAAACGUCUGUAAUUUUAAUGAAGACCUCCAAAAACAGGUCAAGUUUUUAAAAGACACUUCGACAUUGGACAACAGCAAAGUUGUAUGCGAGACAUGUGGAGCACAUUUCUCCAUUGCCCUCAGCGGUCAAAAUGAUAUUACCCGGCACCUUCAAAGCAAGACCCAUAGAGAUGCUGAUAAAAACUGUACUGCAUUCUAUGACAAGUUGCUGAAAGACAAGCAAACCCUCAGAAAAAUAGCAUCGUCAGAGAAAUACAACUGGUAUCAAGCAGCUUCACACCCUGGAGAAUGGCAAGACAAGGAACAAUGCCAGUAAUUACUGACUUCUAAGUAAAAUAUAUGAAACAAC